Non-coding RNA from Picea glauca (white spruce), 46 nucleotides. The record is from Rfam. Lineage: Eukaryota; Viridiplantae; Streptophyta; Pinopsida; Pinales; Pinaceae.
GUAAUGGUGUCUUUAGACACCACCUAUUUUUUAUUUGAAGUUAUUU